Molecule: long non-coding RNA, 524 nt
Organism: Ipomoea nil (Japanese morning glory)
Lineage: Eukaryota; Viridiplantae; Streptophyta; Magnoliopsida; Solanales; Convolvulaceae
Exons: 2
Source: RefSeq, a predicted model, not a curated record
CCCUCGGCUGCACUAGCGCCGCGAUUAUGCUACAGCCAUUCCGUAUAAGGCUAUAAAUUGCCCAUCCUAAAACCCUCUGUCUUCAUCCUUCCGCUUCAUUUAGAUCGGGUUUUGGUUCCAUCUUCGUCGCAGAUGUGACGAUUCACUGUUAUCGGGGCGAGCAAUCGGUGUGCUUGUAUAACCCGUGUGUAAAAAUUGUCACAGAUCGAGCUUCCUUUGUCGAGGGGGAGUGGAUGAGACGGUUCAUACCGUUUCUUCCUCUUCUACAGUCCGAAGGGGGCGAUCUCAUAUCCUAUCGUCUUGGAGAGCAGAUUCUCUGCGGUGACCUCUUGGGCUUGGCCAUGAGAAAUACAUUCAUUCUUCAAUACAUAUAUAUAUAUCUUUGCAUUUUGUCUCAUUCGUGUUUAGCAACUGAUUGAUGAUUUGGCCUGUGAAGAAAUAUUCAUUAAAAUUACACCAUCUUUCGGGACUGAAUGGCCUAAAGGCCUUGCUGUUAUUCUGCAAUUCUGAGGCCUUAUUUUAUC